AAAUUUGAACAUCGAAUAUUCAGAUAAUAUAUAUUUAAGUCAUUGUGAUACCUACUUGGUUGUUGCCAAAUUCCACUUGCCAACAGUUGUUGACCUCGUUAUUCUCCAGCUACCAAGGCCCAACAUUUUUCAUAGUUCCCGGGGACACUGCAUGGAAGGUUAGGUAUGACCGUCAGCUGAUCCGAAGAUUGAUAGUGAGAGAACAUAAACUCAAUGCCCCACUCCACUCCUUCCAAGCUCCACAUUUUCUGCAUAUUUUCAGGUUGUCCAAACCACCCCCCCCCCCCACAUUACCCCAUGUCUCUCGCACCCCUCAUGUUCCGAUCUCUGCUGCGGCUGUUGACAUCGUUGAUUUCGGAGCCGGCGGCCUCGGUCACGACUUUGCUAUAUUACAGUGACCAUCUGCCUCAGAACAUCAUAUGGGAAAGGCUGGUUCGACGUGACAUGUUAGACCAGGAAAAUUACUUGUUCCAUUUACUCAUCAACUUCUUGAGAUGUUUUUGCUAGGACUAUUACCAAAAACUACUAGUAAGUGUUCAUUUCGGUGGUCAAGUAAUUUUAUUUCUAUUUGCAAAAGAUAAUUUAAAUUGGAUUGGAUUCAGACAUCUCGACGCAAUUUUUAUUGUCAAUGAAGAAGAAAUACUGAUGUGUUGCGUUUAA
Long non-coding RNA from Hibiscus syriacus, 660 nucleotides. RefSeq lists it as uncharacterized. The transcript has 2 exons. The record is from RefSeq and is a predicted model, not a curated record. Lineage: Eukaryota; Viridiplantae; Streptophyta; Magnoliopsida; Malvales; Malvaceae.